This 474-nucleotide ribosomal RNA is filed under the name uncultured Clostridium sp. RNAcentral's name for it is "bacterial SSU rRNA". It matches the Rfam family "Bacterial small subunit ribosomal RNA", at positions 28 to 508 of the family's 1533-position model. Lineage: Bacteria; Bacillati; Bacillota; Clostridia; Eubacteriales; Clostridiaceae. The record is from RNAcentral.
GACGAACGCUGGCGGCGUGCCUAACACAUGCAAGUCGAACGGAGUUAUCGAUAAGCUUGCUUAGAGAUAACUUAGUGGCGGACGGGUGAGUAACGCGUGAGUAACCUGCCUUUCAGAGGGGGAUAACAUCCUGAAAAGGAUGCUAAUACCGCAUAACAUAUCGAGGUCACAUGGCUUUGAUAUCAAAGGAGCAAUCCGCUGAAAGAUGGACUCGCGUCCGAUUAGCCAGUUGGCGGGGUAAAGGCCCACCAAAGCGACGAUCGGUAGCCGGACUGAGAGGUUGAACGGCCACAUUGGGACUGAGACACGGCCCAGACUCCUACGGGAGGCAGCAGUGGGGGAUAUUGCACAAUGGAGGAAACUCUGAUGCAGCAACGCCGCGUGAGGGAAGAAGGUCUUCGGAUUGUAAACCUUUGUCCUUGGUGACGAAACAAAUGACGGUAGCCAAGGAGGAAGCUCCGGCUAACUACGUGC